This 562-nucleotide ribosomal RNA is filed under the name Salmonella enterica subsp. enterica serovar Infantis. RNAcentral's name for it is "partial 23S ribosomal RNA". It matches the Rfam family "Bacterial large subunit ribosomal RNA", at positions 711 to 1249 of the family's 2925-position model. Lineage: Bacteria; Pseudomonadati; Pseudomonadota; Gammaproteobacteria; Enterobacterales; Enterobacteriaceae. The record is from RNAcentral. RNAcentral also lists the same sequence under 2 other names.
AGACCCGAAACCCGGUGAUCUAGCCAUGGGCAGGUUGAAGGUUGGGUAACACUAACUGGAGGACCGAACCGACUAAUGUUGAAAAAUUAGCGGAUGACCUGUGGCUGGGGGUGAAAGGCCAAUCAAACCGGGAGAUAGCUGGUUCUCCCCGAAAGCUAUUUAGGUAGCGCCUCGUGAAUUCAUCUCCGGGGGUAGAGCACUGUUUCGGCUAGGGGGCCAUCCCGGCUUACCAACCCGAUGCAAACUGCGAAUACCGGAGAAUGUUAUCACGGGAGACACACGGCGGGUGCUAACGUCCGUCGUGAAGAGGGAAACAACCCAGACCGCCAGCUAAGGUCCCAAAGUCAUGGUUAAGUGGGAAACGAUGUGGGAAGGCCCAGACAGCCAGGAUGUUGGCUUAGAAGCAGCCAUCAUUUAAAGAAAGCGUAAUAGCUCACUGGUCGAGUCGGCCUGCGCGGAAGAUGUAACGGGGCUAAACCAUGCACCGAAGCUGCGGCAGCGAACGUAUCACUUAAAGCGAUUCAGCGGGUUACGAUUGACGGAGCGAAGCGACGUCAAAGCG